AGACGGAGGGUGCAAGCGUUACUCGGAAUCACUGGGCGUAAAGCGCGCGCAGGCGGCUAUUUAAGUUGGAUGUGAAAGCCUACGGCUCAACCGUAGAACUGCAUCCAAAACUAUUUAGCUAGAGUGUGGGAGAGGAAGAUGGAAUUAGUUGUGUAGGGGUAAAAUCCGUAGAGAUAACUAGGAAUACCAAAAGCGAAGGCAAUCUUCUGGAACACUACUGACGCUCAGGCGCGAAAGCGUGGGGAGCAAACAGGAUUAGAAACCCUAGUAGUCC
RNAcentral lists this ribosomal RNA (274 nucleotides) under uncultured bacterium. Its description in RNAcentral is "partial 16S ribosomal RNA". It matches the Rfam family "Bacterial small subunit ribosomal RNA", at positions 523 to 796 of the family's 1533-position model. The record is from RNAcentral.